Molecule: ribosomal RNA, 406 nt
Filed under: uncultured bacterium
Lineage: Bacteria
Description: partial 16S ribosomal RNA
Rfam family: Bacterial small subunit ribosomal RNA
Source: RNAcentral
AUUGAACGCUGGCGGCAGGCCUAACACAUGCAAGUCGAACGAGUGGCGGACGGGUGAGUAAUGUCCGGGAAACUCCCUGAUGGAGGGGGAUAACUACUGGAAACGGUAGCUAAUACCGCAUAUCAUCGGAUGUGCCCAGAUGGGAUGAGCUAGUAGGUGGGGUAAAGGCUCACCUAGGCGACGAUCCCUAGCUGAGCUGAGAGGAUGACAAGCCACACUGGAACGGAGACACGAUACAGACUCAAACGGUAGGGCGGAGUGGGGAAUAGUGCACAAUGAACUGAAGCUUGAUGUGACCAUGCCGCGUGUAUGAAGAGGGCAUUCGUGUUGUAGAGUACUGUCAGCUGGGAGGCGUUACUCUCUGAAGAAGCACCGGCUAACUCCGUGCCAGCAGCCGCGGUAAUUC